CUCUACCCUGCGUUUCUCUAAAAUCAGCAUGAGACGGUCUGACCUGGGCUGGGUUGUGUAGCCCAACUGUACCUGCCACAUGCCCAUCCUCAGCGUGGCUCUCCACUGAGCACUAUGAAUAGAAACUUAGCGAACGAGAAAUAAGCAGUCGGCUUUGGCACAUGCCACACUCCUAGCAGCACUUUGGGGUCGCCAUGGAAACAGGGACGAGUACAGCUAACGCCGCCCCGACAUCUUCCUAUCAUGCCCACUCAAGAUCAUUAACAUUGCAUGUUUAUUUCCUAACCUCCAUGACAGAUUUCUGUGUUGGUUCACCUCUGAUCACGCUGUCCAGGCCUGAGUGCCCAUCUGGAGGCCAGACGGUCCAUCAACCCAGUCUCCUAUAUAAACCCGGUCAAGAGGAGAAUUGACCUAUCGUGCCCCAUGGGUAGGACACACCAAUGUUUAAAACAGCUCACUCUCCAUCCUGUUCUCACAGCACCCAGCAGAGGAGACGGGAGCAGCUGUUGGAGCGGGUGGAGUGUGCACACGUCUCACUCUCGAGAUGACCAGAUGAAUCAUCAGCAUGCUCCAGACUGGUGAGGAAUUACUUUGUCAAUCCCUGUGUGACGAAGCUUUCCCAGCAGGCUCAAUGCUAAGGCCGAUAGAUUUUGGAAAGUCUUGAGAGGGGGAGCGAGUGUCACGUGUUCCAUCCAGGCAUCUCCAAAUUAAUUAUUCACGUUAAUGGGAUGCGUCGGGCGUCUUUUGUUUGCUGAACAUCAAAGCAGGGUCGCUGGGUUUGGUUAUUGCUAAAAAUUAUGACAAAUAGGCAGGAUAGAAAGUGAAUAAACGGUCCUGUUUUACAUGGACACAUUAUUGUGCACAAUUCAAUGCCAGUUCAAUCUCUUCUUCAUGAAUAAAAAGACAUGUGCAUC
This is a long non-coding RNA of Sinocyclocheilus rhinocerous, 914 nucleotides long. RefSeq lists it as uncharacterized. The transcript is spliced from 4 exons. Lineage: Eukaryota; Metazoa; Chordata; Actinopteri; Cypriniformes; Cyprinidae. The record is from RefSeq and is a predicted model, not a curated record.